Non-coding RNA from Equus caballus (horse), 1596 nucleotides. Lineage: Eukaryota; Metazoa; Chordata; Mammalia; Perissodactyla; Equidae. The record is from RefSeq and is a predicted model, not a curated record.
GCGCCUGCUUUCUCCCUGAUGCCUGUCUGAAGGCUUGGAGGGGACGCUGGCAGAAGAUGCAGGCCAUGUGUGGUCUUAGGGGCAGCUUUGCAUCUGGGGAGCGCGAUGAUUCUCGGGAAGAACAAAAUCUUCAUCCCUACGGUUAAACAUGACCCUGAGAUGCUGCAUAGUUCAAGUAGAUAAUGACCAAGGCCAAUCGUCGUGGAUCUCUGUGCUACAUCUGAAAGAUGUUCAGUGCUGACUGCUGGGGACUCUGGAGUACGGAAAGGAUUGUGCCCUCCUCUAUCCUAGGGGGCAGCAGGAGGAGGUUCCCCGCCAUAGCCAUGUUUGGCUACCCAAGCCUCUCCUGAGCGGUGUGAACUAUUCCCUCAAUGGUCCUGAGUUUGCAGGGUGUGCCACGCCCCUCAGUCCGAGCUCCCACCGUAGCCAGCCCCUGCUGCUCUCUGCUUCCCUCCCCUCCAGCGCUGGCCACAGCUUUCUUUGCCCGACGUCCCACCCACUCUGCCGCCUCCUGGGCUCGGCGAGGGCCCUUGGGCGUUGGGCGCACAUCCCGCCCCCGUCGUCCCGCCCCAGCGGCCUGGCCCAGCCCCUUGUCUCCAUGGAGACCCGCACGCUUGCUGCGCCCGCCCCCAAGUCCACCUCCCAACCGCCGCCGUCCCCGCGCAGACCUCCCAACCGACGUCCAUCUCGUUGGAGCCCAGCGCCCGGCAGCGACCUGCGGGACUCCUGGGACGCGCGCCUUCUCGGGACUCAGGGGGCCAGUGUCUCCCAGACUGACAAGAUGGUACUCAGACUCCCUCCUCUAAAGAGCCCGUCAGUGGCAUCUAUUUAGUUCCAGCUGCUGGCUUCUAUAUGUUGAAAUGCAGGGCCCCUGCUGCCCAAUCGUCUUCUCCUGUGAAAAAUCAGAAAUUCAGAACUAUCUGGUAUCUUAAGUAUUAGCAACUAUGUCAAUUAAAAAACAAAACUAAAACUAAGGCUAAGUUACACUCACACCUGAAGGCUGUGCACGGUCCAGAGGUCACCAGCAGUUUGUGGGUGCUCUUCUAAAGGGACAAUGUUUUCUCCAUUCAAGGUCCGCACUCCCCAAUACUGUGAUUAAAAAAACAAAAACCAAAAACAAACUAGGGACAGGUGGUACAGGGCUGGAUAUGAGAAGGCCUUUGUGCCUCAGGCACCACGUGUGCCCUGUCAGGGAGCGUACUGCUGCUUGGGAAAGUACUGGCUAUGAUUAGCUAACAUGGUCUCUCCUGAGCCAAGGAUCUGGAAGAAGGAAAAAAAAGACAGGGCAAAGGCAGAUCAUCUUUGUUCUUGUUACAUUUUAUUGGCAUCACGUUCAUCUCUUUACAGAAGAACUUGGCCCACACCCUAGAAUGUAGACCUUUGGAAAAAGGGGAAGUGCUCCGUUAAGCAAGCUACAAUGCAGGGGCAGAUCCUAGGGAGGGGGCAGAACUGCCAGGGUUCCAUACCAAAGAAACAGGUUAAUUAUGAUGGGCAAGAGGGGCGUUGGUGGGGAAAAGGAGAAAAAGGUUUGCUAACCUAAGGAUACCACAACCUGAAAGGAGCGCCUUCUAGAACAAAGGUAAAAUCACUAGGACA